UGCCUUUUGGUUUUUAUUUAAAGGUUAUUCUGCUCAGUGUUUUUAAUAGCCGCGGUAAUUUGACCGUGCAAAGGUAGCAUAAUCAUUUGCCUUGUAAUUGAGGGCUGGAAUGAAUGAAUAAACAAAGGUUUUUCUUUAUUAAAAAAAGUUGAUGAAUUUUCUUUCUUAGUGAAGAAGCUAAGAUGAAGAAAGGGGACAAGAAGACCCUUUCGAGCUUUACUUGUUUUGGCCUUUUUGGUUGAGUCUAGUUUGGUUGGGGCGACCUAGGAAUUGGAUCUUCCUUUAUUUACUUUGAUCCACAGUUUGUGAUUGAAAGAGCAAGUUACCGAAGGGAUAACAGCGUAAUUUUCUUUGAGAGCUCUUAUUAAAAAGAAAGAUUGCGACCUCGAUGUUGACUUAUAGUUUCCUUAUGGUGUAGCCGCUGUAAUGGUGGGUCUGUUCGACCUUUAAAACUUU
RNAcentral lists this ribosomal RNA (456 nucleotides) under Ototyphlonemertes martynovi. Its description in RNAcentral is "partial large subunit ribosomal RNA". It matches the Rfam family "Archaeal large subunit ribosomal RNA", at positions 1921 to 2666 of the family's 2987-position model. The record is from RNAcentral. Lineage: Eukaryota; Metazoa; Nemertea; Enopla; Monostilifera; Ototyphlonemertidae.